GAGUUUGAUCAUGGCUCAGGAUGAACGCUAGCGGCAGGCUUAACACAUGCAAGUCGAGGGGUAGGUUACUUCGGUAAUUGAGACCGGCGCACGGGUGCGUAACGCGUAUACAAUCUACCUUUUACAGAGGGAUAGCCCAGAGAAAUUUGGAUUAAUACCUCAUAGUAUUUUUGAAUGGCAUCAUUUGAUUAUUAAAGUUCCAACGGUAAAAGAUGAGUAUGCGUCCCAUUAGCUAGAUGGUAAGGUAACGGCUUACCACGGCAACGAUGGGUAGGGGUCCUGAGAGGGAGAUCCCCCACACUGGUACUGAGACACGGACCAGACUCCUACGGGAGGCAGCAGUGAGGAAUAUUGGACAAUGGGCGCAAGCCUGAUCCAGCCAUGCCGCGUGCAGGAAGAAGGUCCUAUGGAUUGUAAACUGCUUUUAUACAGGAAGAAACAACAUUACGUGUAAUGUCUUGACGGUACUGUAUGAAUAAGGACCGGCUAACUCCGUGCCAGCAGCCGCGGUAAUACGGAGGGUCCAAGCGUUAUCCGGAAUCAUUGGGUUUAAAGGGUCCGUAGGCGGCCAAAUAAGUCAGUGGUGAAAGCCCAUCGCUCAACGAUGGAACGGCCAUUGAUACUGUUUGGCUUGAUUAUU
RNAcentral lists this ribosomal RNA (640 nucleotides) under uncultured bacterium. RNAcentral's name for it is "bacterial SSU rRNA". It matches the Rfam family "Bacterial small subunit ribosomal RNA", at positions 9 to 650 of the family's 1533-position model. The record is from RNAcentral.